UGGGGAAUUUUGGACAAUGGGCGCAAGCCUGAUCCAGCCAUUCCGCGUGCAGGAUGAAGGCCUUCGGGUUGUAAACUGCUUUUGUACGGAACGAAACACGUCUGGUUAAUACCCGGGCGUAAUGACGGUACCGUAAGAAUAAGCACCGGCUAACUACGUGCCAGCAGCCGCGGUAAUACGUAGGGUGCGAGCGUUAAUCGGAAUUACUGGGCGUAAAGCGUGCGCAGGCGGUGAUGUAAGACAGAUGUGAAAUCCCCGGGCUCAACCUGGGAACUGCAUUUGUGACUGCAUUGCUGGAGUGCGGCAGAGGGGGAUGGAAUUCCGCGUGUAGCAGUGAAAUGCGUAGAUAUGCGGAGGAACACCGAUGGCGAAGGCAAUCCCCUGGGCCUGCACUGACGCUCAUGCACGAAAGCGUGGGGAGCAAACAGGAUUAGAUACCCUGGUAGUCCACGCCCUAAACGAUGUCAACUGGUUGUUGGGGAUUC
RNAcentral lists this ribosomal RNA (485 nucleotides) under uncultured bacterium. Its description in RNAcentral is "bacterial SSU rRNA". It matches the Rfam family "Bacterial small subunit ribosomal RNA", at positions 355 to 832 of the family's 1533-position model. The record is from RNAcentral.